UGAGUAACGCGUGAGGAACCUGCCUCAAAGAGGGGGACAACAGUUGGAAACGACUGCUAAUACCGCAUAAGCCCACGGCUCGGCAUCGAGCAGAGGGAAAAGGAGUGAUCCGCUUUGAGAUGGCCUCGCGUCCGAUUAGCUAGUUGGUGAGGUAACGGCCCACCAAGGCAACGAUCGGUAGCCGGACUGAGAGGUUGAACGGCCACAUUGGGACUGAGACACGGCCCAA
RNAcentral lists this ribosomal RNA (229 nucleotides) under uncultured bacterium. RNAcentral describes it as "partial 16S ribosomal RNA". It matches the Rfam family "Bacterial small subunit ribosomal RNA", at positions 107 to 334 of the family's 1533-position model. The record is from RNAcentral.